Molecule: ribosomal RNA, 403 nt
Filed under: uncultured bacterium
Lineage: Bacteria
Description: bacterial SSU rRNA
Rfam family: Bacterial small subunit ribosomal RNA
Source: RNAcentral
UGGGGGAUAUUGCACAAUGGGGGAAACCCUGAUGCAGCGACGCCGCGUGUAGGAAGACGGUCCUCUGGAUUGUAAACUACUGUCUUCGGGGACGAUAAUGACGGUACCCGAGGAGGAAGCUCCGGCUAACUACGUGCCAGCAGCCGCGGUAAUACGGGGGGUGCAAGCGUUGUCCGGAAUCAUUGGGCGUAAAGCGUUCGUAGGCGGUAUAUCAAGUCUGGUGUUAAAGCCCGGGGCUCAACUCCGGUUCGGCACUGGAUACUGGUAAACUAGAAUGCGGUAGAGGUAAGGGGAAUUCCUGGUGUAGCGGUGAAAUGCGUAGAUAUCAGGAGGAACACCGGUGGCGAAGGCGGCUACCUGGCCAUGUAUUGACGCUCAGGUGCGAAAGCGUGGGGAGCAAACA